UACGGAGGGCGCAAGCGUUGUUCGGAAUCAUUGGGCGUAAAGCGCGUGUAGGCGGCCAGGUAAGUCGGAUGUGAAAGCCCGGGGCCCAACCCCGGAACUGCACUCGAUACUGCCUGGCUGGAGUCCCGGAGAGGAUGGCGGAAUUCCCGGUGUAGAGGUGAAAUUCGUAGAUAUCGGGAGGAACACCAGUGGCGAAGGCGGCCAUCUGGACGGUGACUGACGCUGAGACGCGAAAGCGUGGGGAGCAAACAGG
RNAcentral lists this ribosomal RNA (253 nucleotides) under uncultured bacterium. RNAcentral's name for it is "partial 16S ribosomal RNA". It matches the Rfam family "Bacterial small subunit ribosomal RNA", at positions 524 to 776 of the family's 1533-position model. The record is from RNAcentral.